GGGGUAGUGGCUCAGCGGUAGAGCGCUUGCCUAGCACGUGAGAGGCCCUGGGUUCAGUUUGAUCCUCAGCAUCACA
RNAcentral lists this transfer RNA (76 nucleotides) under Marmota monax (woodchuck). Its description in RNAcentral is "tRNA.Ala". The record is from RNAcentral. Lineage: Eukaryota; Metazoa; Chordata; Mammalia; Rodentia; Sciuridae.